Long non-coding RNA from Apis laboriosa (Himalayan honeybee), 651 nucleotides. RefSeq lists it as uncharacterized. The transcript has 3 exons. The record is from RefSeq and is a predicted model, not a curated record. Lineage: Eukaryota; Metazoa; Arthropoda; Insecta; Hymenoptera; Apidae.
GAUGGGAGAAGAAAGAAAAAUAUCAGUGAAUCGACAUGAAAUUAAAAUCAACGAAAUACUAACAGACGAUGAUCCUAUCGAGCGCAUUUUACAAGGUUAUCGACGAAGAAGGUAUGAAGAUAGCAAAGGAAGAAAGGGAAAAGCCGCGGCUUCUCGCGCGGCCACUUAAACAUCCAGGCGGUAGAGAAUUUACGUAUCGAGGAGUAGAAUGCGAGAAAAAGGGUGGAGGGAAGGUGCCACGAGAAGAAAGAGACGCAGGAUGGUCUGCAUAUAAAGUGGACACGAAAUGAAGCGGGUUACGUUGCUUGGCUGGUAUAGGAGCAUAUGCCUCUCUCCUCCAUCCGUGAAGUUUGCCUCGCCUUUUUACUCGGUGUACAUUUCGUUUACAUAGGAUCCACGUGCAAGCGGGCGUGCAAAUGCGAAUAUACGCUAUGGAACGUGUACAUGCUUGGCCGUGUGUGCACAAUGUAUACAGGGAGGCGUUAAAAAGUUAAAAAAAUUCUUCUCUUCAUUCUUUUAAGUGGAAUAUUCCUAAGGAUAUUAUAGAUAAAGAAUUAUGGAAGCUACGAAGAAAAAGAAACAGUAUGUGUUCACAGUUAUUCUGCAACAAGUUUUUUUUUUAUGGAGAUGCAUUUUGAAACUGAAAAUAUU